This 253-nucleotide ribosomal RNA is filed under the name uncultured bacterium. RNAcentral describes it as "partial 16S ribosomal RNA". It matches the Rfam family "Bacterial small subunit ribosomal RNA", at positions 524 to 776 of the family's 1533-position model. The record is from RNAcentral.
UACAGGGGGUGCAAACGUUGCUCGGAAUUAUUGGGCGUAAAGCGCACGUAGGUGGUUCGUUAAGUCUGAUGUGAAAGCCCUGGGCUCAACCUGGGAAUGGCAUUGGAAACUGGCGACCUAGAGUGCGGUAGAGGGUAGUGGAAUUCCCGGUGUAGCAGUGAAAUGCGUAGAGAUCGGGAGGAACAUCCGUGGCGAAGGCGACUACCUGGACCAGCACUGACACUGAGGCACGAAAGCGUGGGGAGCAAACAGG